This 448-nucleotide ribosomal RNA is filed under the name uncultured bacterium. RNAcentral describes it as "bacterial SSU rRNA". It matches the Rfam family "Bacterial small subunit ribosomal RNA", at positions 355 to 825 of the family's 1533-position model. The record is from RNAcentral.
UGGGGAAUCUUGGACAAUGGGCGCAAGCCUGAUCCAGCCAUGCCGCGUGGAUGAUGAAGGCCUUAGGGUUGUAAAAUCCUUUCGCCGAGGACGAUAAUGACGGUACUCGGAGAAGAAGCUCCGGCUAACUUCGUGCCAGCAGCCGCGGUAAUACGAAGGGGGCUAGCGUUGUUCGGAUUUACUGGGCGUAAAGCGCGUGUAGGCGGGUCGUUAAGUUGGGGGUGAAAUCCCGAGGCUCAACCUCGGAACUGCCUUCAAAACUGGCGACCUGGACCCAAAUAGAGGCAAGUGGAAUUGCGAGUGUAGAGGUGAAAUUCGUAGAUAUUCGCAGGAACACCAGUGGCGAAGGCGACUUGCUGGACUUGUGGUGACGCUGAGACGCGAAAGCGUGGGGAGCAAACAGGAUUAGAUACCCCCGUAGUCCCUGGAGCGGGCUGGCAAGGCGCAU